UUAAGCUACUAAGAGCGUAGGGUGAAUGCCUUGGCACCAAGAGCCGAUGAAGGACGUGAUAAGCUGCGAAAAGCUGUGAGUAGGAGCAAAUAUCCAUUUAAUCACAGAUGUCCGAAUGAGGGAACUCAGGUCGUGGAAAAAGACGGCCUAUCUAUACAUGAGUAAAGUAGUGUAUAGAGGGGAACGUGGGGAACUGAAACAUCUAAGUACCCACAGGAAAAGAAAGAAAACUCGAUUCCUAAAGUAGUGGCGAGCGAAAUAGGAAGAGCCUAAACCAGAAGAAGUAAUUCAUCUGGGGUUAUGGACUACAUAAUUGAUUCAAGAGAUUUAGCAGAAUUGUUUGGAAAGACAGACCAAAGAUAGUGAAAGUCUAGUAUGCGAAAAAUCAAUUGACAUGGUAGUAUCCGGAGUAGUGCGAGACACGUGAAAUCUCGUAUGAAGAUGGGGGGACCACCCCCAAAGGCUAAAUACUACUUGGUGACCGAUAGUGAAGCAGUACCGUGAGGGAAAGGUGAAAAGAACCCCGGGAGGGGAGUGAAAAAGAACCUGAAACCCUAUGUUUACAAGCAGAUAGAGCACGUUAAGGUGCGAUAUCGUACUUUUUGUAGAACGGUCCGGCGAGUUAUUUUAUAUGGCAAGAUUAAGUACUUAAGGUACGAAGUCGAAGAGAAAUCGAGUCUGAAAAGGGCGAAAAAGUCAUAUGAAAUAGACCCGAAACCGAGUGACCUAUCCAUGGUCAGGAUGAAGCUUGAGUAAAAUCAAGUGGAGGUCCGAACUCAUAAGCGUUAAAAAGCUUCGGGAUGAACUGUGGAUAGCGGAGAAAUUCCAAUCGAACUCGGAGAUAGCUGGUUCUCCUCGAAAUAGUUUUAGGACUAGCCUUGUUAAGUAGUAUAUGGGGGUAGAGCACUGAAGGAGCUAGGGGCCAAACCAGGUUACUGAACUCUAUCAAACUCCGAAUACCAUAUACGUAAAAACAGGAGUCAGACUGCGGGAGCUAAGUUCCGUGGUCAAAAGGGAAAGAGCCCAGAUCGUCAAUUAAGGUCCCAAAGAUAUAGUUAAGUGGAAAACGAUGUGAUUUUGCGUAAACAACCAGGAUGUUGGCUUAGAAGCAGCCAUUCAUUUAAAGAGUGCGUAAUAGCUCACUGGUCGAGUGAAGUUGCGCGGAAAAUUACCGGGGCUAAACUAUACACCGAAAUUGCGGAUUCAUGAGUAAUCAUGAGUGGUAGAGGAGCAUUCUGUUGUAGGAAGAAGUGUGAUCGAAAGGACAUGUGGACGAAGCAGAAGAGAGAAUGCCGGAAUAAGUAGCGAAAGCAUGGUGAGAAUCCAUGCCAUCGAAAGUCUAAGGUUUCCUGGGGAAGGUUCGUCCGCCCAGGGUAAGUCGGGACCUAAGGUGAGGCCGAAAGGCGUAGCCGAUGGACAGCAGGUAGAAAUUCCUGCACUACCGAAAUACUUAAAAGAUGCAAGGGACACAGGAGUGGAAGGAAAGCGAGGAAGAGGAAAGACUCGUAUCGAAAGAUAUAGUGAAAAUUAAAGUAACGAAUUUCCAAGAAGCACACUGGCGAGAAAAGCUUGUAGAUAUUGUAUAGAGGUACCCGUACCGCAAACCGACACAGGUAGAUGAGGAGAGGAUCCUAAGAUGAGCGAGAGAAGCAUUGUUAAGGAACUCGGCAAACCAACCCCGUAACUUAGGGAGAAGGGGUGCCUAUGUAAAAAUAGGCCGCAGAGAAGAGGCCCAAGCAACUGUUUAACAAAAACACAGGUUUCUGCUAAAUCGAAAGAUGAAGUAUAGGAGCUGACGCCUGCCCAGUGCUGGAAGGUUAAGGGAAAAUGUAAGUACAGAAGUAUGAAGCAUAGAACCAAAGCCCCAGUGAACGGCGGCCGUAACUAUAACGGUCCUAAGGUAGCGAAAUUCCUUGUCAGGUAAG
This 1925-nucleotide ribosomal RNA is filed under the name human gut metagenome. Its description in RNAcentral is "bacterial LSU rRNA". It matches the Rfam family "Bacterial large subunit ribosomal RNA", at positions 3 to 1980 of the family's 2925-position model. The record is from RNAcentral.